Molecule: transfer RNA, 83 nt
Filed under: Candidatus Nomurabacteria bacterium
Lineage: Bacteria; Candidatus Nomuraibacteriota
Also listed under: 1 other name
Description: tRNA-Tyr
Rfam family: tRNA
About the family: Transfer RNA (tRNA) molecules are approximately 80 nucleotides in length. Their secondary structure includes four short double-helical elements and three loops (D, anti-codon, and T loops).
Source: RNAcentral
GCGUCGGUGGUGGAGUGGUCUAUCACAACAGACUGUAAAUCUGUCGGCUUCGGCCUUCGUUGGUUCGAAUCCAACCCGGCGCA